CAAGUAGUAAAAAACAGUUUUUUUAAAACAUACCGUAAAUUUGCGGAGAUUUGAUGCUUCUGAACGCCGAGUCCAUGGCGUCUUGGUAAGGACGUCUGAAUCAGUCUGGUUACAUCCUUUCCAAAGCAUGCUCAUCAAACCGUCUUCCCAAUAUGCUGCUUCAAGACGUAUUCACAACAUGUAGGCGGGCCUUCCAAAGUGGGAUGUGCCCUCCAUUUUCAUAGGCUGCCUGUGUCUUCAUAUAAAUGGCCCUGCAACUCAACAACUACAGUCCCGGAGGAGAUUGGACGCUGAAGAGAAGAGUAGACGCGGCAAACAACUUGUUCUCAUUAUACUUUGGAUCGCUGAAAACAAAAGGAAACAAUGAAACCUUGCCCGUUGUGCAGAGACAGCUACGCCAAUAGACCGCAGCAUCUCUGGGAUUUUCACUGUGUGACUGAUGGCACAGAACGCAGGCUCCUGCUGGGAAUGGCUUCUGGAAGAAAGAGGACAUCAAAUUGAUCCUGGAGGAGUCGAGAAGGAAAGAAAUAGCUUCACAACUGUCUGCCCUCAGGGAAACAAAACAAGCAGGUUCAGCCAGCCAGCCCCGCGCCCGAAAG
Long non-coding RNA from Perca flavescens (yellow perch), 599 nucleotides. RefSeq lists it as uncharacterized. Lineage: Eukaryota; Metazoa; Chordata; Actinopteri; Perciformes; Percidae. The record is from RefSeq and is a predicted model, not a curated record. The transcript is spliced from 3 exons.